AAAGGCUUGCCUCUGUCUUCUCAUUUCAUCUCCCCUGCUCAACCGGUUCUCCAAGCAAAAAGCUUAUUCUUUUGAGCUUUUGAUCAAGGAAAAAUGGUGAGGCAUUACAAAAUGAAAGGGCACAAGAAAAGGAAGAGAGAUAAGGUGCAAUAUGAUAAAGAAGAAAAUGGAGAAGAAGAAUAUGUAGAAAAAUCUGUCCCACGAGAGGGAGGGGCAGAGGAAGAGGAAGAUGAGGAGAAUAUGAAUGAAAAGAAGAGAAGGGCUGAAGAACUAGCAAAUGAACUUCCCAGCCUUCCAAUUGUUCUUGCUGAUGACCAGAAAAACGCCAAUAAACCUGGGGUUAUUUUCAUUCUUGAAAAGGCUUCUCUGGAGGUUGCAAAAGUGGGAAAGAAUUAUCAACUUCUGAACUCAGACAAGCAUGCGAAUUUUCUGAGGAGAAAUGGACGGAAUCCAGCUGAUUACCGGCCUGACAUUGCUCAUCAGGCAAUCCUGAUGAUUUUGGACAGUACACUUAAUAAAUCUGGUAGAAUGAAAGCUUUGUAUGUGAAGACUGAGAAAGGCGUGCUCUUUGAAAUUAAACCUCAUGUUCGUAUUCCAAGGACAUUUGAUCGUUUUUCUGGCAUCAUGUUGCAGCUGUUACAAAAACUGAGUAUAACUGCUGUUGGUAAGCGUGAAAAACUUCUGCAAGCUAUCCAGAAUCCUGUAACCAAGUAUUUGCCCAUCAACUCUCGGAAAAUAGGCUUCUCACAUAGUUCGCAAAAAUUGGUUGAUAUGCAAGAUUAUGUCGCUGCUGUUGGUAAUGAGAUGAACCUUGUAUUCGUGGUUGGUGCGAUGGCUCAUGGAAAAAUUGAUGUUGAUUAUGUUGAGGAUUUUAUAUCAAGUACUUGAUGAAUAUCAUUUGUCUGCAUAGUUCGUUGACUCAUUAGCAAGCAUGCAUUAAUUUCAGUUCAGAAACCUAACCAAAAUUUCCAGUUAUGCGAUCUUUUACUGUGAGUUUCUGAUUAUCCGUUGAGCGCUGCAUUCUGCAUAUCUAGGAUCUGCAAUGCUGUGGAGCGGAGCUGGAGAGUUUUGUGACCUUCUGCAGUUGCCUUUAUUUUUAGUAGACAUAACCACAUGUAUACCGUAGGCUUUUGUUAACAGGCUAUUUAUGAACAUCACUACAAUUUGAUGAUGGUAUGGAGUUUACUCCGUGCAAGAUGAAACUCCUUUUUUCCUAAUCCUUUUUACUCGGUUUGAAUACAAAAUAUUAUGUUGGUUCA
RNA transcript from Coffea arabica (coffee), 1259 nucleotides. RefSeq lists it as uncharacterized. The record is from RefSeq and is a predicted model, not a curated record. NCBI's taxonomy places the organism in Eukaryota, Viridiplantae, Streptophyta, Magnoliopsida, Gentianales, Rubiaceae.